RNAcentral lists this ribosomal RNA (718 nucleotides) under bacterium xpnta352lb522onp10.8dc. Its description in RNAcentral is "bacterial SSU rRNA". It matches the Rfam family "Bacterial small subunit ribosomal RNA", at positions 51 to 773 of the family's 1533-position model. The record is from RNAcentral.
ACACAUGCAGUCGAACGAUGAAGCCAGCUUGCUGGUGGAUUAGUGGCGAACGGGUGAGUAACACGUGAGUAACCUGCCCUUGACUCUGGGAUAAGCCUGGGAAACCGGGUCUAAUACUGGAUACGACCUUCCCACGCAUGUGGUGUUGGUGGAAAGCUUUUGUGGUUUUGGAUGGACUCGCGGCCUAUCAGCUUGUUGGUGGGGUAAUGGCCUACCAAGGCGACGACGGGUAGCCGGCCUGAGAGGGUGACCGGCCACACUGGGACUGAGACACGGCCCAGACUCCUACGGGAGGCAGCAGUGGGGAAUAUUGCACAAUGGGCGCAAGCCUGAUGCAGCGACGCCGCGUGAGGGAUGAAGGCCUUCGGGUUGUAAACCUCUUUCAGUAGGGAAGAAGCUGGCCCUUUGGGUUGGUGACGGUACCUGCAGAAGAAGCGCCGGCUAACUACGUGCCAGCAGCCGCGGUAAUACGUAGGGCGCAAGCGUUAUCCGGAAUUAUUGGGCGUAAAGAGCUCGUAGGCGGUUUGUCGCGUCUGCCGUGAAAGUCCGGGGCUUAACCCCGGAUCUGCGGUGGGUACGGGCAGACUAGAGUGCAGUAGGGGAGACUGGAAUUCCUGGUGUAGCGGUGAAAUGCGCAGAUAUCAGGAGGAACACCGAUGGCGAAGGCAGGUCUCUGGGCUGUAACUGACGCUGAGGAGCGAAAGCAUGGGGAGCGAAC